CCUCAAAUGACAGCAGAUACGAGGGAUGAAAAAACAAGAAAGCAGUGAGAUAUCUGGGAAUCCUGUGCGGCAAUACUGUGCGGAAAAGCGGAAAUGAAUGAAAUGAACUUGAGUCCUGUAGGGAUGGACCAGCUGACCUCCUCCUCUGUGAGCAAUGCCCUGCCAGUCUCAGGAAGUCACUUGGGCUUGGCAGCAUCACCCACUCACAACGCCAUACCAGCACCAGGCUUGCCUGUUGCAAUUCCAAACCUGGGCCCCUCCUUGAGUUCCUUGCCCUCUGCUCUGUCUCUGAUGCUCCCAAUGGGUAUUGGGGAUCGAGGAGUGAUGUGUGGUAUACCAGAGAGAAACUACACCCUACCUCCACCACCAUACCCUCACCUGGAGAGCAGCUAUUUCAGACACAUUCUACCUGGUAUCUUAUCUUACUUGGCUGACAGACCACCACCUCAGUACAUCCAUCCCAACACUAUAAAUGUUGACAGCAAUCCAGCAUUGUCAGUCUCCAACAAUCCCUCAGCCCUGGAUCCCUACCAGCCCAGUGGCACCGUGGGGCUGGAGCCAGGGAUUGUCUCCAUGGACUCCCGCACAGUGAACACACACGGUCCUCAAAAUCUGCAUGCUAGUGACAGCCACGAGGUAGCGCUGGAUACUACAAUCACCAUGGAGAGUGUUUCGAGGGUAACCAGCCCCAUCUCUACAGAUGGGAUGACAGAGGAGCUUACAAUGGAUGACGUAGGCGGGGAUCACACGCAGAUCCCGAACGGCUCCCGCAGCCACGAACCUUUAGCCGUAGACACAGUGGGGAGUAACUUGACAUCAGAUGCUGUGGGACACGGCGGUGUCAUUCCCAUUCACGGUAGCACUUUGGAACUCCCUGUUGUCAUGGAGCCCGACCACAUUGCUGGGCGGGUGACAGGGAUAUCGGACAGCACACUAAAUGACCCCAUUCAUACUGUGGCCAUGAGCACCAACUCUGUGAGUGUGGCGCUCCCUACCUCACACAACCUCGCUUCCCUGGACUCAGUAGCCUUGCAUGAAGUGGGCCUCAGCCUGGAACCCGUGGCAGUGUCUUCCAUAAGUCAGGAAGUAGCCAUGGGGCCAAGCCAUGUCGAUGUGUCUGCAGACAAUCUUGCCUUUGUACCAUCGUCUCUGCAAAUGGAAGACUCCAAUUCCAACAAGGAGAACAUGGCAACCUUGUUUACCAUAUGGUGCACGCUGUGUGACAAGGCGUAUCCGUCAGACUGCCCGGACCACGGGCCCGUCACCUUUGUCCCCGACAGCCCAAUCGAGAGCCGAGCCAGGCUGUCCCUCCCGAAGCAGCUGCUCCUCCGGCAGUCUAUCAUGGGAGCUGAAGCGGGUGUGUGGACACGAGAGACCAUUCCUGUGAGGACUUGUUUCGGACCUUUGAUCGGGCAGCAGAGCCACUCCCUGGAGGUGGCUGACUGGACAGACAAAGCAGCCAGUCACAUCUGGAAGAUCUAUCACAAUGGUGUCCUGGAGUUCUGCAUCAUCACAACUGAUGAAAAUGAAUGUAACUGGAUGAUGUUUGUACGCAAAGCCAGGAACCGGGAAGAGCAGAACCUGGUCGCUUAUCCUCAUGAUGGGAAAAUUUACUUCUGCACCUCUCGGGACAUCCCCCCUGAACACGAGCUUCUGUUCUAUUACAGCCGGGACUAUGCACGACAGCUUGGUGUCCCUGAGCAUCCAGACGUGCACGUCUGCCACUGCGGGAAGGAAUGCGCUUCCUACGCCGACUUCAAGGCCCAUUUGAGCAGCCAUAUUCACAACCACCUCCCCAGUCAGGGGCACAGCAGCAACCACGGGCCAGGCCACGGCAAGGAAAGGAAGUGGAAGUGCUCCAUGUGUCCCCAGGCUUUCAUCUCCCCUUCCAAGCUGCACGUGCACUUCAUGGGGCACAUGGGCAUGAAGCCGCACAAGUGCGAUUUCUGUAGCAAAGCUUUCAGCGAUCCAAGCAACUUACGGACACACCUCAAGAUCCACACAGGUCAGAAGAAUUACCGCUGCACCCUCUGUGACAAAUCCUUCACGCAGAAGGCUCACCUGGAGUCGCACAUGGUCAUCCACACUGGGGAGAAGAACCUCAAGUGUGAUUACUGUGAGAAGCUCUUCAUGCGGAGGCAGGACCUCAAGCAGCAUGUCCUCACUCACACACAAGAACGGCAGAUCAAGUGCCCCAAGUGUGACAAACUGUUCCUGAGGACAAAUCACCUGAAGAAGCACCUCAAUUCACAUGAAGGAAAGAGGGACUAUGUCUGCGAAAAAUGCUCCAAGGCUUAUCUGACCAAAUAUCACCUCACUCGACACUUAAAAAUAUGUAAAGGCCCCACAUCCAGUCUGUCAGCCCCAGAGGAGGAAGAGGAGGAGGAUUCAGAGGAGGAAUUAAUAGACUCCAUGAGGACUGAAGACUGUAGGAUUAACAAUGGAGUCUAUUCAACAGGUGAUGUGCUCUCUGGACACAAAUGAAGAAGAGAGGGAAACUUUCUUGAGUAUUAGGGAAGGGAAAAAAACCCCUCUUCCUUCUUUCCUCAGUCACCAGUGUAUGUCAGGUGAGGAGUUCUCCUUCUGUUUUUGUCUCCACACUACCACCACUUAAUAUAAUCUGUAGCCAGAACACUGAACAAGACUGGAUCGUGCACGUACAAGCGAGGAGUUGCUAAGAAGGAAAUGUGAGGCAAGAUUUCUGUCACACACGCUGUGCAUACUUCUCCAAAUCACUCAGAUGCAUCCAUCCAGUGCCGGGACAUGUGACACGCCUCGCAUAGCCCUUCGAGCAAAAGAGCCACGAACCAGAAAUGUAGCUGAGAGA
This is a non-coding RNA of Cyanistes caeruleus (blue tit), 2827 nucleotides long. NCBI's taxonomy places the organism in Eukaryota, Metazoa, Chordata, Aves, Passeriformes, Paridae. The record is from RefSeq and is a predicted model, not a curated record.